RNAcentral lists this ribosomal RNA (590 nucleotides) under Pseudomonas sp. 136(2013). RNAcentral's name for it is "bacterial SSU rRNA". It matches the Rfam family "Bacterial small subunit ribosomal RNA", at positions 68 to 653 of the family's 1533-position model. The record is from RNAcentral. Lineage: Bacteria; Pseudomonadati; Pseudomonadota; Gammaproteobacteria; Pseudomonadales; Pseudomonadaceae.
GGAUGAGUGGAGCUUGCUCCAUGAUUCAGCGGCGGACGGGUGAGUAAUGCCUAGGAAUCUGCCUGGUAGUGGGGGACAACGUUUCGAAAGGAACGCUAAUACCGCAUACGUCCUACGGGAGAAAGUGGGGGAUCUUCGGACCUCACGCUAUCAGAUGAGCCUAGGUCGGAUUAGCUAGUUGGUGAGGUAAAGGCUCACCAAGGCGACGAUCCGUAACUGGUCUGAGAGGAUGAUCAGUCACACUGGAACUGAGACACGGUCCAGACUCCUACGGGAGGCAGCAGUGGGGAAUAUUGGACAAUGGGCGAAAGCCUGAUCCAGCCAUGCCGCGUGUGUGAAGAAGGUCUUCGGAUUGUAAAGCACUUUAAGUUGGGAGGAAGGGCAGUAAGUUAAUACCUUGCUGUUUUGACGUUACCAACAGAAUAAGCACCGGCUAACUUCGUGCCAGCAGCCGCGGUAAUACGAAGGGUGCAAGCGUUAAUCGGAAUUACUGGGCGUAAAGCGCGCGUAGGUGGUUCGUUAAGUUGGAUGUGAAAGCCCCGGGCUCAACCUGGGAACUGCAUCCAAAACUGGCGAGCUAGAGUAUGGCA